This 186-nucleotide ribosomal RNA is filed under the name Triticum aestivum (bread wheat). RNAcentral describes it as "partial small subunit ribosomal RNA". Lineage: Eukaryota; Viridiplantae; Streptophyta; Magnoliopsida; Poales; Poaceae. The record is from RNAcentral.
AUGAAGCAACAACUGGUACCGUAUAGAAGGGGCCAUAAACUAGAGAGUCUUGACCAAUUCGAAAGAUCAUUUGGUGUAGUUGAAAUAACAGAAUUGGAACUUGUUUGGUGCUUUUCAAGUCCACCGUCAAAUCCCAGGGCUCAACCCUGGACAGGCGGUGGAAACUACCAAACUGGAGUACGGUAG